RNAcentral lists this ribosomal RNA (122 nucleotides) under Anolis carolinensis (green anole). The record is from RNAcentral. Lineage: Eukaryota; Metazoa; Chordata; Lepidosauria; Squamata; Anolidae.
GAAUGUGAUCCAGGCAAGAUCCUAAAGGCACCAGAUCCCUUCUGAUCUUGGAAGCUAAGCAGGGUCGGCAUCGGUUAGGACUUCGAUGGGAGACCGUCAAAGAAAACCGGACACUAUAGGCU